ACAUUCGUAAAGUAGCAGCCGAAUUUUCAGAAACUAGAAUGACUCCUCCCACUCUCCCGGUAACGUCUCAAGCUUCCAUUAAUAUGUGUUUAAGAGCUUUAGUGUGAUUAUCCCACUCCUCCCACCUCUUCGCCUUCCACAGUAACCGUUUGAAGUUUGGAAUAUAAAUAUCCCAUCUUCCAACUAUGGACACCAUAACUCAAACAAGAUCCAAAAGAAUAGUUUGUUCUAACAACCGAUUCCAGAAAUAUCAACAAAGCCGGUGAAAUCUCAAGACAAGUAAGUCACAUACAACCCUAGCUUAAUAUGAAUGUUCUUGCGAAAUAACAAUAGCUAUCAUUCUAACCGUUACUACAUUCAUUACAGGAAUCAGCUAGAGAGACCAGUCCAAGUCUUAACGUUUUUGAAGACAGCUACGAUGGUCAUCAAGAGGUGGAGACCCGAUAGAUACUAUUUGGAUGCUGACAUUUGCAAACAACUUCGUUUGGUAGGCAAUUUUUUACAGACUCCGAGUUUUCUAAACACCUGAUAUAUUUAUGAAUUUCUUGAAAACAUUGGCUUUAUGUCUCCAAUGUCAACCACACAUAGAUCUUCAAGCGUUACACCACUUAUGAUGUACUGCAGAAUUGUUAUAGGUUCUUAAUAUGUUUCGCGCCUGUUACUGAGACAGAUAUUCUUAUUAGAGGAAUCUUAUACAAUAAAGGAGAGUUGUCUCUCUCCUCCUGCGUCCAUGUCAGCAUUCACAUAUGGGCGUUUGUUGCCACGUGGCAUACCCGUACACAAGUGAAUCCUGCGUUUUAUGUCCUUUGUUUGAACUGGGUUUUUGAUACAACUUACGGAUGGGCCUUUUAAAACAAAAUGGCAAGCCCAAUUAAGUUUUAGGUUUCCUCUGAAAAUCCUCUUCUUCUUCACGCCUCCGACAUUCGUAAAGUAGCAGCCGAAUUUUCAGAAACUAGAAUGACUCCUCCCACUCUCCCGGUAAUGUCUCAAGCUUCCAUUAAUAUGUGUUUAAGAGCUUUAGUGUGAUUAUCCCACUCCUCCCACCUCUUCGCCUUCCACAGUAACCGUUUGAAGUUUGGAAUAUAAAUAUCCCAUCUUCCAACUAUGGACACCAUAACUCAAACAAGAUCCAAAAGAAUAGUUUGUUCUAACAACCGAUUCCAGAAAUAUCAACAAAGCCGGUGAA
This 1186-nucleotide long non-coding RNA is filed under the name Brassica rapa (field mustard). RNAcentral's name for it is "long non-coding RNA (BRAP_LNC000796)". Lineage: Eukaryota; Viridiplantae; Streptophyta; Magnoliopsida; Brassicales; Brassicaceae. The record is from RNAcentral.